Molecule: long non-coding RNA, 229 nt
Filed under: Elaeis guineensis (African oil palm)
Lineage: Eukaryota; Viridiplantae; Streptophyta; Magnoliopsida; Arecales; Arecaceae
Description: long non-coding RNA (EGUI_LNC039470)
Source: RNAcentral
AUCUGACGUGCAUGCGAAGUACAGGAUCUGCAUAUCUAGGCCUCCGUAAAGAUUUAUAUCAGAUAAUUUGGGAUUUGAUCUCUGAUUCUACUAUGAUUCAGGUAAGAAUUUGAUCCUUAAACAAGUAGAAUAUUAGAGAAAAGUUUUAGAUGCAAACUGGGCAUUCUGGAGGAAAACUGUUUCCUUCCCUUCUAUUUACAUAUUGUCACAAUCUGUUAGUGUAAUGUAC